This 296-nucleotide ribosomal RNA is filed under the name Salmonella enterica. Its description in RNAcentral is "partial 23S ribosomal RNA". It matches the Rfam family "Bacterial large subunit ribosomal RNA", at positions 1243 to 1542 of the family's 2925-position model. The record is from RNAcentral. Lineage: Bacteria; Pseudomonadati; Pseudomonadota; Gammaproteobacteria; Enterobacterales; Enterobacteriaceae.
UAAGCCUGUGAAGGUGUGUCGUGAGGCAUGCUGGAGGUAUCAGAAGUGCGAAUGCUGACAUAAGUAACGAUAAAGCGGGUGAAAAGCCCGCUCGCCGGAAGACCAAGGGUUCCUGUCCAACGUUAAUCGGGGCAGGGUGAGUCGACCCCUAAGGCGAGGCCGAAAGGCGUAGUCGAUGGGAAACGGGUUAAUAUUCCCGUACUUGGUGUUACUGCGAAGGGGGGACGGAGAAGGCUAUGUUGGCCGGGCGACGGUUGUCCCGGUUUAAGCGUGUAGGUGUGUGUUCCAGGUAAAUC